Molecule: ribosomal RNA, 474 nt
Filed under: uncultured Malassezia
Lineage: Eukaryota; Fungi; Basidiomycota; Malasseziomycetes; Malasseziales; Malasseziaceae
Description: SSU rRNA
Rfam family: Eukaryotic small subunit ribosomal RNA
Source: RNAcentral
CAAGUCUGGUGCCAGCAGCCGCGGUAAUUCCAGCUCCAAUAGCGUAUAUUAAAGUUGUUGCAGUUAAAAAGCUCGUAGUUGGACCUUGGACCUGGACGGGCGGUCCGCCUCACGGCGAGUACUGUCUUGCUGGGUCUUUCCUCUUGGUGAUCUGUUGUUUGGGCAGCAGGGAACCAGGACCUUUACUUUGAAAAAAUUAGAGUGUUCAAAGCAGGCUCGACGCCGGAAUAUAUUAGCAUGGAAUAAUAGAAUAGGACGUGCGGUUCUAUUUUGUUGGUUUUUGGAAUCGCCGUAAUGAUUAAUAGGGACAGUCGGGGGCAUUAGUACUCACAUGCUAGAGGUGAAAUUCUUGGAUUUUGUGAAGACUAACUUCUGCGAAAGCAUUUGCCAAGGAUGUUUUCAUUAAUCAAGAACGAAGGUUAGGGUAUCGAAAACGAUUAAAUACCGUUGUAGUCUUAACAGUAAACUAUGCCA